This 377-nucleotide ribosomal RNA is filed under the name uncultured bacterium. RNAcentral's name for it is "bacterial SSU rRNA". It matches the Rfam family "Bacterial small subunit ribosomal RNA", at positions 790 to 1167 of the family's 1533-position model. The record is from RNAcentral.
GUAGUCCAUGCCGUAAACGUUGUAUACUUGAUGUAGCUGGGCUCAACCCUGGCUGUGUCGAAGCUAACGCGAUAAGUAUACCGCCUGAGGAGUACGCUCGCAAGGGUGAAACUCAAAAGAAUUGACGGGGGCCCGCACAAGCAGUGGAGCAUGUGGUUUAAUUCGAUGCAACGCGAAGAACCUUACCCAGAUUUGAAAUACAGAGGACGAUAGCAGAAAUGUUAUUUCUCGUAAGAGCCUUUGUACAGGUGCUGCAUGGCUGUCGUCAGCUCGUGCCGUGAGGUGUUGGGUUAAGUCCCGCAACGAGCGCAACCCUUAUCAUUAGUUGCCAACACGAAAGGUGGGAACUCUAAUGAGACUGCCUGGGUUAACCAGGA